This 492-nucleotide ribosomal RNA is filed under the name uncultured bacterium. Its description in RNAcentral is "partial 16S ribosomal RNA". It matches the Rfam family "Bacterial small subunit ribosomal RNA", at positions 29 to 507 of the family's 1533-position model. The record is from RNAcentral.
AGUGAACGCUGGCGGUAGGCCUAACACAUGCAAGUCGAACGGCAGCACAGUAAGAGCUUGCUCUUACGGGUGGCGAGUGGCGGACGGGUGCGGAAUACAUCGGAAUCUACUUUUUCGUGGGGGAUAACGUAGGGAAACUUACGCUAAUACCCCAUACGACCUACGGGUGAAAGCAGGGGAUCUUCGGCCCUUGCGCGAUUGAAUGAGCCGAUGUCGGAUUAGCUAGUUGGCGGGGUAAAGGCCCACCAAGGCGACGAUCCGUAGCUGGUCUGAGAGGAUGAUCAGCCACACUGGAACUGAGACACGGUCCAGACUCCUACGGGAGGCAGCAGUGGGGAAUAUUGGACAAUGGGCGCAAGCCUGAUCCAGCCAUACCGCGUGGGUGAAGAAGGCCUUCGGGUUGUAAAGCCCUUUUGUUGGGAAAGAAAAGCAGCAGGUUAAUACCCCGCUGUUCUGACGGUACCAAAAGAAUAAGCACCGGCUAACUUCGUG